This 492-nucleotide ribosomal RNA is filed under the name uncultured bacterium. RNAcentral describes it as "partial 16S ribosomal RNA". It matches the Rfam family "Bacterial small subunit ribosomal RNA", at positions 29 to 507 of the family's 1533-position model. The record is from RNAcentral.
AGUGAACGCUGGCGGUAGGCCUAACACAUGCAAGUCGAACGGCAGCACAGUAAGAGCUUGCUCUUACGGGUGGCGAGUGGCGGACGGGUGAGGAAUACAUCGGAAUCUACUUUUUCGUGGGGGAUAACGUAGGGAAACUUACGCUAAUACCGCAUACGACCUACGGGUGAAAGCAGGGGAUCUUCGGACCUUGCGCGAUCGAAUGAGCCGAUGUCGGAUUAGCUAGUUGGCGGGGUAAAGGCCCGCCAAGGCGACGAUCCGUAGCUGGUCUGAGAGGAUGAUCAGCCACACUGGAACUGAGACACGGUCCAGACUCCUACGGGAGGCAGCAGUGGGGAAUAUUGGACAAUGGGCGCAAGCCUGAUCCAGCCAUACCGCGUGGGUGAAGAAGGCCUUCGGGUUGUAAAGCCCUUUUGUUGGGAAAGAAAAGCAGCAGGUUAAUACCCCGCUGUUCUGACGGUACCCAAAGAAUAAGCACCGGCUAACUUCGUG